CCUAUAAAUCUACUUUUAUUCAUAGAUUUUAACUGAUAUAACGUUAAAUGCCAUCAAAGAGGAGUAGUGUUUUGUAUUUUUGUAGGUUUUCUCUUUCAAUUUAAUAAAUAAAUGCUCUGUUUGGUUAAUUAGCUCAAAAUCAGUCUCAGAGGUGGUCUAAGGUAACGGUAACUGUUAAAAUCGAAUAUAACCUUACCUGUUUUAAAUUAUUUGAAAUUUAUCACUAUAAACUAUACAGUAUUAACUUUCUAAUAAUUAAAUUUUUAACCGUAGUAACGUUAAUUAGUUUGUUUGAAUACCUGCUGCUCGAGCUUGAUGAUGCUCAUGCUAUCCAUGCUGUGAACUUGAAUAUAAACCGAUAUAACGUUAAAUAUAAAGUUUAACGUUAAGUAGACCGAGGCUGCCGAAAUCAUGUUCAGUGUAACGUUAUGUGGGAUUAAUAAUUUCCCCUUUUCUCCCUCAAGUGGCAGGCUUGUAAAUUCUGUCAUCUGUUCAUUAUUGGUGUUGAUGGUGUUUUUCACAUGCAUGCUUUUUAAUGCUAGUUUAAUUCUCAAAUUGAUCUGAUACUUUCGUUCCACAAAAAGUAAACAAAUUGUUCACUUUCUUAGGGCCUGACAACCACCAGUUGAGUCCAUGAUUCAGGGAAGAGACAGUCUGGGCAGCAGCAACAAGACAACUAUUACAAGUAGAGAUGGGUUUCAAGAACUGGUACUAAUUUGGUUCCUGACUUGUUCGACACAACCACAUAUCCUCCAAAUCAUCUCUGCGUGGAUGGCAGCAAGGAUCCAGGAUCAAGAGAUCAUUCUUCAUGGAAGCAGUUUCUCCUGGGUGAAAAACUAAACCUGGUUGUUUCAGCAUCACUCAGGCAAG
Long non-coding RNA from Carassius gibelio (silver crucian carp), 870 nucleotides. RefSeq lists it as uncharacterized. Lineage: Eukaryota; Metazoa; Chordata; Actinopteri; Cypriniformes; Cyprinidae. The transcript has 3 exons. The record is from RefSeq and is a predicted model, not a curated record.